RNAcentral lists this unclassified non-coding RNA (340 nucleotides) under soil metagenome. RNAcentral describes it as "partial contains 5.8S ribosomal RNA, internal transcribed spacer 2, and large subunit ribosomal RNA". The stretch from base 1 to 120 matches the Rfam family "5.8S ribosomal RNA", at positions 35 to 154 of the family's 154-position model. The record is from RNAcentral.
GAUGAAGAACGCAGCGAAAUGCGAUAACUAAUGUGAAUUGCAGAAUUCAGUGAAUCAUCGAGUCUUUGAACGCACAUUGCGCCCCCUGGUAUUCCGGGGGGCAUGCCUGUCCGAGCGUCAUUGCUGCCCUCAAGCACGGCUUGUGUGUUGGGCUCCGUCCCCCCGGGGACGGGCCCGAAAGGCAGCGGCGGCACCGAGUCCGGUCCUCGAGCGUAUGGGGCUUUGUCACCCGCUCUGUAGGCCCGGCCGGCGCCAGCCGACAACCCAUCAUCCUUUUCAGGUUGACCUCGGAUCAGGUAGGGAUACCCGCUGAACUUAAGCAUAUCAAUAAAGCGGAGGA